This 448-nucleotide ribosomal RNA is filed under the name uncultured bacterium. Its description in RNAcentral is "SSU rRNA". It matches the Rfam family "Bacterial small subunit ribosomal RNA", at positions 26 to 518 of the family's 1533-position model. The record is from RNAcentral.
AGAGCGAACGCUGGCGGCAGGCCUAACACAUGCAAGUCGAGCGCCCGUAGCAAUACGGGAGCGGCAGACGGGAUAGUAACACGUGGGAACGCGCCCUUCGGUUCGGAAUAACUCAGGGAAACUUGAGCUAAUACCGGAUACGCCCUUACGGGGAAAGAUUUAUUGCCGAAGGAACGGCCCGCGUCCGAUUAGCUAGUUGGUGAGGUAAUGGCUCACCAAGGCGACGAUCGGUAGCUGGUCUGAGAGGAUGACCAGCAUCACUGGGACUGAGACACGGCCCAGACUCCUACGGGAGGCAGCAGUAGGGAAUUUUCCACAAUGGGCGAAAUCCUGAUGGAGCAACGCCGCGUGCAGGAUGAAUGCCUUCGGGUUGUAAACUGCUUUUAUCUGUGACGAUUAUGACGGUAGCAGAUGAAUAAGGAUCGGCUAACUCCGUGCUAGCAGCCGC